GGGGAAAAUUAAUAAAUUAAAUUUAAUAAAAAAAAUUUUAAUAUUAAAAAGAAGAACGGGGGUUUAAGUAUUUUUAAUAGAAAAAAUUAAUAGUUUUAUAGUUAAAUAUUACUGUAAAGGAAUUUAUAAAUAAAUGAAAUAUAAUUAAUAAAAAAGUAAAUUUAAAUUAUUGUAUCUUGUGUAUCAGAGUUUAUUAAAUAAUAAUAAUUUAUUUAAAUAAAUCUCGAAUUUAAAAGAGUUAAUUAGUUAAAAAAGUUAAUGUUGUAUAAUUAUUUUAAAUAGCUAAUUAGAAAUGAAAUGUUAAUCGUUUUUAAAUAUAUCUAGUUUUUUCAGAAAAAAAUUUAAUUUUAAAUUUAAAUAAUUUUAUAAUUAUUUAAUUAAUUAUAAAAAUUUAAAUUUUAAUAUUUUAGGGGAUAAGCUUUAAAUUAAAAAUUUAUAAUUAAUAAAAUGAUUAAAAUUAAAAUUUUUAAAAUUUAUAUUGUUUAAAAAUUAUAGUUUAUUAUAAAAAAUUUUAUUUAAAAAUAAAAUUUAAAAUAAAAAAAAUUUAAAUUUUUAUGAAAAAAUAAUUUAUAAUUUAAUAAAAUUAGAAAUAAUGAUAAAAUUAGUAUAAUAUAAUAAAUUAAAAAAAAAUUAUAGUUAAGUAAGUUAAAGGAAUUCGGCAAAAUUUUAUAUUCACUUGUUUAUCAAAAACAUGUCUUUUUGAUAAUAAUUUAAAGUCUAAUCUGCCCACUGAUAAUAUAUUAAAGGGCUGCAGUAUAUUGACUGUACAAAGGUAGCAUAAUCAUUAGUCUUUUAAUUGAAGACUUGUAUGAAAGAUUUGAUGAAAUAUAAACUGUCUCUAAUUUAUAUUUAGAAAUUAAUUUUUUAGUUAAAAAGCUAAAAUAAUAUUAAAAGACGAGAAGACCCUAUAGAGUUUUAUAUUUUAUUUAAUUAAUAUUAAAUAUAUAAUUAAAUAUAUUAAUAAAAUAAAAUAUUAUAUUGGGGUGAUAGAAAAAUUUAAUAAACUUUUUUUAAAUUUAAACAUAGAUAAAUGAUUAGUUGAUCCAUUAUUAAUGAUUAAAAGAAAAAAUUACCUUAGGGAUAACAGCGUAAUAUUUUUUUUUAGUACAUAUAAAAAAAAAAGUUUGCGACCUCGAUGUUGGAUUAAGAUAAAAUUUAAAUGCAAAAGUUUAAAAUUUUGAUCUGUUCGAUCAUUAAAAUCUUACAUGAUCUGAGUUCAAACCGGUGUAAGCCAGGUUGGUUUCUAUCUUUAAUAAAAAAAAAUAUUUUAGUACGAAAGGAUCAAAUAUUUAAAAUAAUUUUAUAUAAGUGAAUGAAUAUUAAUAAUAUAGUUUAU
RNAcentral lists this ribosomal RNA (1336 nucleotides) under Junonia oenone. Its description in RNAcentral is "16S ribosomal RNA". The record is from RNAcentral. Lineage: Eukaryota; Metazoa; Arthropoda; Insecta; Lepidoptera; Nymphalidae.